UCGGCCAACUCAUGCUCGCGUUGGCCGGCAAUGCGGGAGGGGUUGGCGACGGCUUCGCACGCAGCAUCGUGAGCGAUGAGUCGCAGAGGAGAAGGUUCAAAUCAAGCAGCAUGAAUUUAGACACCAUGGAUUUGGACAUUUUGGGGGUGAUUCUGCUUUCACGUCUCUGCAAUUUAAUAAGGAGCGCACAUAUCCUUUUUAGAAAGCGUAAUCAAACUCCAUCUUUUAAUUUAGUUUCCCAGUAUUUCUCUCAGUAGUCCCCUAGUUGCUUUCUGUACCGAAUGUCCUUUCAUGAAAUGUUCUUUGGAUUCACCAAAAAUGACUAGGUCCCUGUCCAGCUAGCAAGGGAAACAGAAAUCAGUCGAUUGUACAUUUUAAAAUGCACAUAGUAGGACAUUCUUAUUAUUUUCUCUCAACAAUGAUGUUGUUAGAGAUUGGUUCCGUUCAAUGUUAUACAUAAAGAGUUCUUAUUGGUA
Molecule: long non-coding RNA, 476 nt
Organism: Brachypodium distachyon (stiff brome)
Lineage: Eukaryota; Viridiplantae; Streptophyta; Magnoliopsida; Poales; Poaceae
Exons: 3
Source: RefSeq, a predicted model, not a curated record